Long non-coding RNA from Ornithodoros turicata, 3081 nucleotides. RefSeq lists it as uncharacterized. The transcript is spliced from 3 exons. NCBI's taxonomy places the organism in Eukaryota, Metazoa, Arthropoda, Arachnida, Ixodida, Argasidae. The record is from RefSeq and is a predicted model, not a curated record.
ACGGAACAUAUUGUCCCUCGGAUAUCCGAGAUUGAUCCUUACGUCCGUGUCCGAGGCGGGAUACCCGCAGGACGUCCUUCGGAGAUCAGCCCACGGACAACGAAUUUUCGUUAGCCCACGGACGUCCCUAAAUGGAUGUAGAAAUUUCGUGAUCCGUGGGACGUCCUUCUAUGGGCAUUUGAACAGAUCUUAAUUCAUUGACACAGUCAAAAUUUGAAAGUCGAUGUCCAUGUACACUGCUUGCAGGAUGAAAAGGGGGAAAGGAACGCUCUUCUUGUUGUGCAUUGUAACCAAUAGUAACGCAGUACAAUGUGCUGCAAUGGUGUCCAUAUUUGCAGUAUGUGAACUGCGAUAAUACAAUCAAAAAUAGUUUUCUAACAUUAAUUAUAAACUAAAAAGUACUUCGAAUAACUUUAUCGGAACCGAAAGCAUAAAUAUUUUUAACAAUUAUUUUGGCUCGAUACGAAACCCGAGCCGAUCGAACGGCUGCAUCUGCAUGGCUGAAUCAGUCUAGUCCGGCGCCAUCUUUGUUUUUGUGAGCUCGGCGUUUGCACGUGAGAUAACCGUUUUCUUUGCACGCGUCCGCUUUCUCAAAAUGUGUUGUAUGAGGUGGAUUGCGAAGCAGCAGUGGGAUAUUUUCCCUGAAUGGGCUAUAGCAGAUCCUAGAGAGCGAGUCUUCUCACAGAAUCGAUACAAUCAAGAUGGCAUCGAAAGGCAGCCCUGCCGUGUCCUCGUUGUGUGUUGGAUAGAAGAAGAACCUCCGGUUGAGGACCACAUUUCGCGUUGAAGACGACGAAUACGUUGGGGGAACCGGGGCGAGCAGUAACACGCGGGCAAGCAGUAUACCUGCUCGAAAAGGACGACUCAAGUUUCAGUGCAGGCCGCGACUUUUACUUGGUGUGUGUGAGCUUGUGCCUUUGUUGUCAUCAACCAAUGAACUUCUCUGACACAAUUCGUGAGAAAAGAACGAUGCGCACUGCACAGCAGCUAGCUAGGUCGGGGAGAAGCAGAUUCCGAAGGGGAUUAGCCGAUGAGGCCUCGUUAAGGAUCCUGAUGAUUUCACUCAGAUUCACUCCAAACAAGAGCUCCUAAUUGUAUACCCCAGGAGCAACAAGGGAGGUCGUGUCUGAACUUGCACGUCAGGACCAGGAAGCAGUUUCAGCAGGGCAGCACAGGACAAGAUGCUGAGGACACAGUGACCACCGUGCAACUGAAGUCUUGCCUGUGUCCCAUGUGAUGAACAGUUGUCUACCCAUAGUUUUCUACAUUACAUACUGCGUGCCUGUGGAACUCCCCAGCUCUUAUGUACAGGUAUCCGUACAGUUAACUAAUCUCCAGCUCCUGUGGCUUUGCCCCGAUAAGCGCCCAACUAACCGCUGACGACGCAAACACUAGUGAACUCGUCCAGAGGUGGCGGGAUUUUUCUUCUACUGCAUUCCUGUGCACACUCGCGCUAUAAGACAAAAACAUACACGCGCGCAACAGAAUAGCAGAAAAAAAGAUAAGAAGUCUGCAAUCUUCAUCUCAUUUUUUCUUUGUGUGUGUGUCUCAUACGACAUACCUUCGUUUGUAAGCGUGAGUUGGGCCCACCCCUGGACGAGCUCACUUGUGUUUGCGUCGUCAGCCGCUAGUUGGGCACUUAUCGGAGCAAAGCCACGGGAGCGGGAGAUGGGUUAACUGUACAGAUACCUGUACAUAAAAAGAUUUAGGACAUUUAGCAAAAGCUCGGUAUACCUGAGCAAAGCUUCCAGAAUUUUUUCAACUUUGCACAGCUGAGAAUUUAAUUACUUUUACAGCUGUCAUAUCUUAGUACUUUCAUUUUCCUCAAGUAAAUCUUGGUCCCUGUUGCAAACGCCCUUGCCAAACACAAGUGCCAUGUUUUCCGGUCCAUAAAAUAGUCUUAUUCAGUGCCGGAUUUAGAGGAGGGCUCACGGGGCACUUGUCCCGGGGCCCCCACCACAAAGCCCCCACCACUGUAAUUCCGGCACUGGUCUUAUUACUGAUGUGAGGCCACAGAGACAGUAGUCAGUAAUUUAGAUAGCUAUUUGGAUUUCUACCUUUUAUACCUUAGAUAUUUUGAAUUUACCUCAAGUACAAACAGUUUUGCUUUUAGGCUGCAGCAGAGCGCUCUUUUGUGUUCCUAUUGACCUUUUGAUGGGCUUGCUGGUGGUUAACGAAUUUACACUCAGUCUUCUGUGCUGCUGUGCGCACAAAGGUCAUGUGCCAUAACGACAUUAUGUACAGCUUCUAUAAAGAUUUUCCAAUUUUGGAAUAUGUCCUGUACGCCUUAGCAAGCCUCACACAAAUUUCGUAAGUUUUAGUGCUUCACGUUGCUUAUAGUUUAGUUAGUCGUGUUUACAACUAUUCAUCUCGAUUGGUUGUGUUUGUCACAUUCAUUUUACCGGUGAACAUGCAGAUUCAAUUGAGUAACAAGCAAUCUGUUUUGCAUGCUGUUUUUUCAUACCUGUUGCAAAAAUCUUUGCCAAACAAGAGCAUCGUGUACUAUACAAGCACGGUUGUCUGAGAGAUGCAUCUUUUCCAAAUUUUCUUGUUGUCCUUUCUGUGUCCUAUUCUUUUCCAAGGUGACAAUGGGGAAUUGUGUGGCCACAGGCUGCAGCUUUUAGACAACUGUGUCCAGUUAUUUUGGUCCAUAGCACAGUAUAUGUGCCUUUUUGUUACCUCAGUGGUUUUUAUGCCCUUACAGUUUAGUUUUUUAUACAUGUGUAUGUACUAUUAGCAUUUACCUAAAGAUACAGUUUUACCGAUGCCUUCAGGGCAAAUCAGAGGACUCUUUUUUAUGAUAGUGAGCUUAUCGAUGACCUCGCCGGUGCUCUAGGUUCACCCUGUACGCAAAUAUAUGUAUUGCCAUCUUGAUAUGUAUCUCAGAAUUUUUUUGUUUUCUAAUUUACAUCUUAUAUACGUUCUUCGCAAUAUUUUGCUACCUUGCCUUACAGUUGCUGUUGAUGUGUGAGGUUAUUUUGCUUCCAUCUACUGGAAGGUUUUUAAGAAUAAACCUAGUUAUUCUUACAUUUGCAUCCAGUGUGGCAAGUGGUUUCAUAGUGAACACGUGCUCUAGUUGCA